This 703-nucleotide ribosomal RNA is filed under the name uncultured bacterium. RNAcentral's name for it is "bacterial SSU rRNA". It matches the Rfam family "Bacterial small subunit ribosomal RNA", at positions 153 to 847 of the family's 1533-position model. The record is from RNAcentral.
GAAACGGAAACUAAAACCGGAUAGGUAAUAGAGAAGCAUUUCUGUAUUAUUAAAGAAGCCUCAAAGCUUUGAACAUGGAUGGACCUGCGGUGCAUUAGCUAGUUGGUAAGGUAACGGCCUACCAAGGCGACGAUGCAUAGCCGACCUGAGAGGGCGAACGGCCACAUUGGGACUGAGACACGGCCCAAACUCCUACGGGAGGCAGCAGUAGGGAAUUUUCGUCAAUGGGGGGAACCCUGAACGAGCAAUGCCGCGUGAGUGAAGACGGUCUUCGGAUUGUAAAGCUCUGUUGUGAGAGAAAAAGGAUAUAUAUAGGAAAUGAUAUGUAUUUGAUGGUAUCUCACCAGAAAGUCACGGCUAACUACGUGCCAGCAGCCGCGGUAAUACGUAGGUGGCGAGCGUUAUCCGGAAUGAUUGGGCGUAAAGGGUACGUAGGCGGCAUGAUAAGUCUGGAGUGAAAGGCUACAGCUCAACUGUAGUAUGCUCUGGAAACUGUCAAGCUAGAGUGCAGAAGAGGGCAAUGGAACUCCAUGUGUAGCGGUAAAGUGCGUAGAUAUAUGGAAGAACACCGGUGGCGAAGGCGGUUGCCUGGUCUGAAACUGACGCUGAAGUACGAAAGCGUGGGGAGCAAAUAGGAUUAGAUACCCUAGUAGUCCACGCCGUAAACGAUGAGAACUAGGUGUUGGGGGAAUAACUCAGUGCC